RNAcentral lists this transfer RNA (63 nucleotides) under Camelus bactrianus (Bactrian camel). It matches the Rfam family "tRNA", at positions 5 to 66 of the family's 71-position model. From Rfam's summary of the family: Transfer RNA (tRNA) molecules are approximately 80 nucleotides in length. Lineage: Eukaryota; Metazoa; Chordata; Mammalia; Artiodactyla; Camelidae. The record is from Rfam by way of RNAcentral. RNAcentral also lists the same sequence under 2 other names.
GUAUAGCUCAGUGGUAGAGUGUGUGCUUAGCAUGCACGAGAUCCUGGGUUCAAUCCCCAGUGC